Molecule: ribosomal RNA, 1470 nt
Filed under: metagenome
Description: bacterial SSU rRNA
Rfam family: Bacterial small subunit ribosomal RNA
Source: RNAcentral
AGAGUUUGAUCCUGGCUCAGGACGAACGCUGGCGGCACGCUUAAUACAUGCAAGUCGAACGAGAGAAGAGGAGCUUGCUUUUCUGAUCUAGUGGCGGACGGGUGAGUAACACGUGAGCAAUCUGCCUUUCAGAGGGGGAUACCGAUUGGAAACGAUCGUUAAUACCGCAUAACAUAAUUGAACCGCAUGAUUUGAUUAUCAAAGAUUUAUCGCUGAAAGAUGAGCUCGCGUCUGAUUAGCUAGUUGGUAAGGUAACGGCUUACCAAGGCGACGAUCAGUAGCCGGACUGAGAGGUUGAUCGGCCACAUUGGGACUGAGACACGGCCCAGACUCCUACGGGAGGCAGCAGUGGGGAAUAUUGCACAAUGGAGGAAACUCUGAUGCAGCGAUGCCGCGUGAGGGAAGAAGGUUUUAGGAUUGUAACCCUCUGUCUUCAGGGACGAAAAAAGACGGUACCUGAGGAGGAAGCUCCGGCUAACUACGUGCCAGCAGCCGCGGUAAUACGUAGGGAGCGAGCGUUGUCCGGAAUUACUGGGUGUAAAGGGAGCGUAGGCGGGAUCGCAAGUCAGAUGUGAAAACUAUGGGCUUAACCCAUAAACUGCAUUUGAAACUGUGGUUCUUGAGUGAAGUAGAGGUAAGCGGAAUUCCUAGUGUAGCGGUGAAAUGCGUAGAUAUUAGGAGGAACAUCAGUGGCGAAGGCGGCUUACUGGGCUUUAACUGACGCUGAGGCUCGAAAGCGUGGGGAGCAAACAGGAUUAGAUACCCUGGUAGUCCACGCCGUAAACGAUGAUUACUAGGUGUGGGGGGACUGACCCCUUCCGUGCCGCAGCAAACGCAAUAAGUAAUCCACCUGGGGAGUACGACCGCAAGGUUGAAACUCAAAGGAAUUGACGGGGGCCCGCACAAGCAGUGGAGUAUGUGGAUUAAUUCGAAGCAACGCGAAGAACCUUACCAGGUCUUGACAUCGUAUGCAUAGCUCAGAGAUGAGUGAAAUCUCUUCGGAGACAUAUAGACAGGUGGUGCAUGGUUGUCGUCAGCUCGUGUCGUGAGAUGUUGGGUUAAGUCCCGCAACGAGCGCAACCCUUACUGUUAGUUGCUACGCAAGAGCACUCUAGCAGGACUGCCGUUGACAAAACGGAGGAAGGUGGGGAUGACGUCAAAUCAUCAUGCCCCUUAUGACCUGGGCCUCACACGUACUACAAUGGCUGUCAACAGAGGGAAGCAAAGCCGCGAGGUGGAGCGAACCCCUAAAAGCAGUCUUAGUUCGGAUUGUAGGCUGCAACCCGCCUACAUGAAGUCGGAAUUGCUAGUAAUCGCAGAUCAGCAUGCUGCGGUGAAUACGUUCCCGGGCCUUGUACACACCGCCCGUCACGCCAUGGGAGUCGGUAACACCCGAAGCCUGUAGUCUAACCGCAAGGAGGACGCAGUCGAAGGUGGGAUUGAUGACUGGGGUGAAGUCGUAACAAGGUA